UGGCGAGCGGGUGAGUAACGCGUGAGGAACCUGCCUCAAAGAGGGGGACAACAGUCGGAAACGACUGCUAAUACCGCAUAAGCCCACGACCCGGCAUCGGGAAGAGGGAAAAGGAGCAAUCCGCUUUGAGAUGGCCUCGCGUCCGAUUAGCUAGUUGGUGAGGUAACGGCCCACCAAGGCGACGAUCGGUAGCCGGACUGAGAGGUUGAACGGCCACAUUGGGACUGAGACACGGCCCAG
RNAcentral lists this ribosomal RNA (240 nucleotides) under uncultured bacterium. RNAcentral describes it as "partial 16S ribosomal RNA". It matches the Rfam family "Bacterial small subunit ribosomal RNA", at positions 96 to 334 of the family's 1533-position model. The record is from RNAcentral.